Molecule: long non-coding RNA, 222 nt
Filed under: Trifolium pratense (red clover)
Lineage: Eukaryota; Viridiplantae; Streptophyta; Magnoliopsida; Fabales; Fabaceae
Description: long non-coding RNA (TPRA_LNC008809)
Source: RNAcentral
CACAAUAUGAGUGAUAACAGUUCGACACAUCAAAUACGCUUCAAGACCAUCAAACAGCUGAAUGACUACGAUAAAAUGGAGCACCGUUAAAUUGUUUGAGUUACAUAAACUUUGGAAGGUAAGUGUGAGAACUUGAGGGGAAGGGGGCACUGUCUUGCUUUAUUUUCCCUCUACCAUUUUCCAAACCAGGCCAACAACUUCCUCAUCUUACCAAGAAGUCCC